AAUUUCAACCAAAUAUUAAUUUAAUCCUAGUUGAAAUCCUAAUAGCCUUUACUUAAAUCCUAAGUCAAAUCCUAACUAAAUCCUAAACAAAUCCUAAAUCCUAACCAAUUUCUAAAUCCUCAAUCAAAUCCUAAUCAAAUUAACUUAAUUUUAGGAUAAUUUAGAGCCUUAAUAUCUAUCAAUUUUAUCAUUGAUCUUACUUAAGAUUUUACACACCUCUCA
RNAcentral lists this long non-coding RNA (222 nucleotides) under Physcomitrium patens. Its description in RNAcentral is "long non-coding RNA (PPAT_LNC010593)". Lineage: Eukaryota; Viridiplantae; Streptophyta; Bryopsida; Funariales; Funariaceae. The record is from RNAcentral.